RNAcentral lists this ribosomal RNA (114 nucleotides) under uncultured bacterium. RNAcentral's name for it is "partial 16S ribosomal RNA". It matches the Rfam family "Bacterial small subunit ribosomal RNA", at positions 1369 to 1482 of the family's 1533-position model. The record is from RNAcentral.
CGUUCCCGGGUCUUGUACACACCGCCCGUCACACCAUGGAAGUUGGUUGCACCAGAAGUCGGUCGCUUAACCGUAAGGGGGGCGUUUACCACGGUGUGGUUCAUGACUGGGGUG